GAUGAACGCUGGCGGCGUGCCUAAUACAUGCAAGUCGAGCGAACAGACGAGGAGCUUGCUCCUCUGACGUUAGCGGCGGACGGGUGAGUAACACGUGGAUAACCUACCUAUAAGACUGGGAUAACUUCGGGAAACCGGAGCUAAUACCGGAUAAUAUAUUGAACCGCAUGGUUCAAUAGUGAAAGACGGUUUUGCUGUCACUUAUAGAUGGAUCCGCGCCGCAUUAGCUAGUUGGUAAGGUAACGGCUUACCAAGGCAACGAUGCGUAGCCGACCUGAGAGGGGGAUCGGCCACACUGGAACUGAGACACGGUCCAGACUCCUACGGGAGGCAGCAGUAGGGAAUCUUCCGCAAUGGGCGAAAGCCUGACGGAGCAACGCCGCGUGAGUGAUGAAGGUCUUCGGAUCGUAAAACGCUGUUAUUAGGGAAGAACAAAUGUGUAAGUAACGAUGCACGUCUUGACGGUACCUAAGCAGAAAGCCACGGCUAACUACGU
Molecule: ribosomal RNA, 496 nt
Filed under: uncultured bacterium
Lineage: Bacteria
Description: partial 16S ribosomal RNA
Rfam family: Bacterial small subunit ribosomal RNA
Source: RNAcentral